GUUAUAGGGUCAAGCGAAUAAGUGCAUGUGGUGGAUGCCUUGGCGAUCACAGGCGAUGAAGGACGUAGUAGCUUGCGAAAAGCUGCGGGGAGCUGGCAAACGAGCUUUGAUCCGCAGAUGUCCGAAUGGGGAAACCCGGCCCGUAUGGGUCAUCCCUUGCUGAAUACAUAGGCAAGGGAGGCGAACGCAGUGAACUGAAACAUCUAAGUAGCUGCAGGAAAAGAAAUCAACCGAGAUUCCCAAAGUAGUGGCGAGCGAAAUGGGAACAGCCUUGUACUCUUUAGCAGUAUUGUUAGCGGAACGGAAUGGAAAGUCCGGCCAUAGUGGGUGAUAGCCCCGUACGCGAAAACAGUAUUGUGGAACUAGGUGUACGACAAGUAGGGCGGGACACGUGAAAUCCUGUCUGAAGAUGGGGGGACCAUCCUCCAAGGCUAAAUACUCGUGAUCGACCGAUAGUGAACCAGUACCGUGAGGGAAAGGCGAAAAGAACCCCGGGAGGGGAGUGAAAUAGAUCCUGAAACCGCAUGCAUACAAACAGUCGGAGCCUGGAAACGGGUGACGGCGUACCUUUUGUAUAAUGGGUCAGCGACUUACAUUCAGUGGCAAGCUUAACCGAUUAGGGAAGGCGUAGCGAAAGCGAGUCCGAAUAGGGCGUUCAGUCGCUGGGUGUAGACCCGAAACCAAGUGAUCUAUCCAUGGCCAGGUUGAAGGUGCGGUAACACGUACUGGAGGACCGAACCCACUAACGUUGAAAAGUUAGGGGAUGAGCUGUGGAUAGGGGUGAAAGGCUAAACAAACUUGGAAAUAGCUGGUUCUCUCCGAAAACUAUUUAGGUAGUGCCUCGUGUCUCACCUUCGGGGGUAGAGCACUGUCAUGGUUGGGGGGUCUAUUGCUGAUUACCCCGCCAUAGCAAACUCCGAAUACCGAAGAGUGCAAUCACGGGAGACAGACAUCGGGUGCUAACGUCCGGUGUCAAGAGGGAAACAACCCAGACCGCCAGCUAAGGUCCCUAAGAUUGGCUAAGUGGGAAACGAAGUGGGAAGGCUAAAACAGUCAGGAGGUUGGCUUAGAAGCAGCCACCCUUUAAAGAAAGCGUAAUAGCUCACUGAUCGAGUCGUCCUGCGCGGAAGAUGUAACGGGGCUAAGCCAGUCACCGAAGCUGCGGAUGCACGUAAGUGCAUGGUAGGAGAGCGUUCUGUAAGCCUGUGAAGGUGUCUUGUAAAGGAUGCUGGAGGUAUCAGAAGUGCGAAUGCUGACAUGAGUAGCGAUAAAGGGGGUGAAAGGCCCCCUCGCCGUAAGCCCAAGGUUUCCUACGCAACGUUCAUCGGCGUAGGGUGAGUCGGCCCCUAAGGUGAGGCAGAGAUGCGUAGCUGAUGGGAAGCAGGUUAAUAUUCCUGCACCGUCGUAUGAUGCGAUGGGGGGACGGAUCGCGGAAGGUUGUCCGGGUGUUGGAAGUCCCGGUCCCUACAUUGGAGAUGGCACUUAGGCAAAUCCGGGUGCGUGAUUCAAGGGUGUGGGGCGAGCGACGUUAGGUCGCGAAGCAAUUGGAAGUGGUUCCAAGAAAAGCCUCUAAGCUUCAGUCAUACGAGACCGUACCGCAAACCGACACAGGUGGGCGAGAUGAGUAUUCUAAGGCGCUUGAGAGAACUCGGGAGAAGGAACUCGGCAAAUUGGUACCGUAACUUCGGGAUAAGGUACGCCCUUGUAGUUUGACUGGCUCGCGCCAGAAGGAUGAAGGGGUUGCAAUAAAAUGGUGGCUGCGACUGUUUAAUAAAAACACAGCACUCUGCAAACACGAAAGUGGACGUAUAGGGUGUGACGCCUGCCCGGUGCCGGAAGAUUAAAUGAUGGGGUGCAAGCUCUUGAUUGAAGUCCCGGUAAACGGCGGCCGUAACUAUAACGGUCCUAAGGUAGCGAAAUUCCUUGUCGGGUAAGUUCCGACCUGCACGAAUGGCGUAACGAUGGCCACACUGUCUCCUCCCGAGACUCAGCGAAGUUGAAGUGUUUGUGAUGAUGCAAUCUCCCCGCGGCUAGACGGAAAGACCCCAUGAACCUUUACUGUAGCUUUGCAUUGGACUUUGAACCGAUCUGUGUAGGAUAGGUGGGAGGCUUUGAAACCGGGACGCUAGUUUCGGUGGAGCCGACCUUGAAAUACCACCCUGGUUUGUUUGAGGUUCUAACCUUGGCCCGUGAAUCCGGGUCGGGGACAGUGCAUGGUAGGCAGUUUGACUGGGGCGGUCUCCUCCCAAAGUGUAACGGAGGAGUUCGAAGGUACGCUUGGUACGGUCGGACAUCGUACCUAAAGUGCAAUGGCAAAAGCGUGCUUAACUGCGAGACCGACAAGUCGAGCAGGUGCGAAAGCAGGACAUAGUGAUCCGGUGGUUCUGUAUGGAAGGGCCAUCGCUCAACGGAUAAAAGGUACUCUGGGGAUAACAGGCUGAUACCGCCCAAGAGUUCAUAUCGACGGCGGUGUUUGGCACCUCGAUGUCGGCUCAUCUCAUCCUGGGGCUGUAGCCGGUCCCAAGGGUAUGGCUGUUCGCCAUUUAAAGAGGUACGUGAGCUGGGUUUAAAACGUCGUGAGACAGUUUGGUCCCUAUCUGCCGUGGGCGUUGGAAUCUUGACGGGGGCUGCUCCUAGUACGAGAGGACCGGAGUGGACGUACCGCUGGUGUACCUGUUGUCUCGCCAGAGGCAUCGCAGGGUAGCUAUGUACGGAAGAGAUAACCGCUGAAAGCAUCUAAGCGGGAAACUCGCCUGAAGAUGAGGAUUCCCUGGAGACUUGAUCUCCCUGAAGGGUCGUUCGAGACCAGGACGUUGAUAGGCUGGGUGUGGAAGCGCAGUAAUGUGUUCAGCUAACCAGUACUAAUUGCCCGUGCGGCUUGAUCCUAUAACC
This 2892-nucleotide ribosomal RNA is filed under the name Ralstonia solanacearum. RNAcentral's name for it is "23S ribosomal RNA". It matches the Rfam family "Bacterial large subunit ribosomal RNA". RNAcentral also lists the same sequence under 1 other name. Lineage: Bacteria; Pseudomonadati; Pseudomonadota; Betaproteobacteria; Burkholderiales; Burkholderiaceae. The record is from RNAcentral.